UGGGGAAUAUUGCACAAUGGGCGCAAGCCUGAUGCAGCCAUGCCGCGUGUGUGAAGAAGGCCUUCGGGUCGUAAAGCACUUUCAGCGAGGAGGAAGGUGGUGAGCUUAAUACGCUCAUCAAUUGACGUUACUCGCAGAAGAAGCACCGGCUAACUCCGUGCCAGCAGCCGCGGUAAUACGGAGGGUGCAAGCGUUAAUCGGAAUUACUGGGCGUAAAGCGCACGCAGGCGGUUUGUUAAGUCAGAUGUGAAAUCCCCGGGCUCAACCUGGGAACUGCAUUUGAAACUGGCAAGCUAGAGUCUCGUAGAGGGGGGUAGAAUUCCAGGUGUAGCGGUGAAAUGCGUAGAGAUCUGGAGGAAUACCGGUGGCGAAGGCGGCCCCCUGGACGAAGACUGACGCUCAGGUGCGAAAGCGUGGGGCAGCAAACAGGAUUAGAUACCCUGGUAGUCCACGCUGUAAACGAUGUCGAUUUUGGAGGUUGUGCCCUUGAGGCGUGGCUUCCGGAGCUAACGCGUUAAAGUCGACCGCCUGGGGGAGUACGGCCGCAAGGUUAAAACUCAAAGGAAUU
Molecule: ribosomal RNA, 568 nt
Filed under: uncultured bacterium
Lineage: Bacteria
Description: partial 16S ribosomal RNA
Rfam family: Bacterial small subunit ribosomal RNA
Source: RNAcentral